Molecule: ribosomal RNA, 335 nt
Filed under: uncultured Planctomycetales bacterium
Lineage: Bacteria; Pseudomonadati; Planctomycetota; Planctomycetia; Planctomycetales
Description: bacterial SSU rRNA
Rfam family: Bacterial small subunit ribosomal RNA
Source: RNAcentral
CUAAGGCUCCGGAGGAAGCCACGGCUAACUCUGUGCCAGCAGCCGCGGUAAUACAGAGGCGGCAAGCGUUGUUCGGAAUUAUUGGGCGUAAAGAGCACGUAGGCGGCCGUGUAAGUCGGUUGUGAAAGCCUUCCGCUCAACGGGAGAACGGCAUCCGAUACUGCAUGGCUAGAGUGCGGGAGGGGAGAGUGGAACUUCUGGUGGAGCGGUGAAAUGCGUAGAUAUCAGAAGGAACACCGGCGGCGAAGGCGACUCUCUGGCCCGUAACUGACGCUGAGUGUGCGAAAGCUAGGGGAGCAAACGGGAUUAGAUACCCCGGUAGUCCUAGCUGUAAA